UGGGGAAUAUUGCACAAUGGGCGCAAGCCUGAUGCAGCGACGCCGCGUGGGGGAUGACGGCCUUCGGGUUGUAAACCUCUUUCACCAUCGGCGAAGCCAGAUGCUUUUGUUUCUGGUGACGGUAGGUGGAGAAGAAGCACCGGCCAACUACGUGC
This 155-nucleotide ribosomal RNA is filed under the name uncultured bacterium. Its description in RNAcentral is "partial 16S ribosomal RNA". It matches the Rfam family "Bacterial small subunit ribosomal RNA", at positions 355 to 508 of the family's 1533-position model. The record is from RNAcentral.